RNAcentral lists this transfer RNA (73 nucleotides) under Kitasatospora xanthocidica. RNAcentral describes it as "tRNA-Arg". The record is from RNAcentral. Lineage: Bacteria; Bacillati; Actinomycetota; Actinomycetes; Kitasatosporales; Streptomycetaceae.
GGGCUCGUGGUACGCGUACUCGGGCGUCUCCGGCGCGUCCGCGGCCUCGUCGGGUUCGAGCCGGGCGAGCUCC